GCUGGGGUGGUGAAAUGGCAGACACACCAGCCUUAGGAGCUGGUGCCGCAAGGCGUGGAGGUUCAAGUCCUCUCCCCAGCA
Molecule: transfer RNA, 81 nt
Filed under: bacterium
Lineage: Bacteria
Description: tRNA-Leu
Rfam family: tRNA
About the family: Transfer RNA (tRNA) molecules are approximately 80 nucleotides in length. Their secondary structure includes four short double-helical elements and three loops (D, anti-codon, and T loops).
Source: RNAcentral